Molecule: ribosomal RNA, 447 nt
Filed under: uncultured bacterium
Lineage: Bacteria
Description: bacterial SSU rRNA
Rfam family: Bacterial small subunit ribosomal RNA
Source: RNAcentral
UUCCAGACUCCUACGGGAGGCAGCAGUGGGGGAUAUUGCACAAUGGGGGGAACCCUGAUGCAGCGACGCCGCGUGGGUGAAGGAGCGUUUCGGCGCGUAAAGCCCUCUCGGCAGGGAAGAAGAUGACGGUACCUGACCAAGAAGCCCCGGCUAACUACGUGCCAGCAGCCGCGGUAAUACGUAGGGGGCAAGCGUUAUCCGGAUUUACUGGGUGUAAAGGGGGCGCAGACGGCAAUGCAAGCCAGGAGUGAAAGCCCGGGGCCCAACCCCGGGACUGCUUUGGAAACUGUAUGGCUGGAGUGCAGGAGAGGUAAGUGGAAUUCCUAGUGUAGCGGUGAAAUGCGUAGAUAUUAGGAGGAACACCAGUGGCGAAGGCGGCUUACUGGACUGUAACUGACGUUGAGGCUCGAAAGCGUGGGGAGCAAACAGGAUUAGAUACCCCAGUAU